CAUCACAGUUCCAGAAGCAAUAGACUGUGCUGUAUAUAUGGUGCAUAGGAGGCUUAGGUGUGUAGUAGGCUGUCCUAUCUAGGUCUGUGUAAGUACACUGUGUGAUGGUCACAUGACAAUGUAUUUACAGACUGUAUUUCUCAGAAUGGCUCCUGGUUGCUGAGUGAUGCAUGAUUACAUGUGGGCAGCUGGUGUUGGAGGAGAGGCAGGAUGGGGUGCAGAGGAGAUGAUGAAAUCCAUUCUGGACAUGCUGGAAUUGGAGAAAUUUCCAUGAAAUUCAUUUUGUCUUGACCUCUGGAAUAAAGACACCUGCUUUGGAAGGAAGAAGCAAAAAGGAGUCUUGGGCUCCAGUAAGUUGUCGGCAUGGUUAUGCAAUGAGCACCUUUUAUAAACUUGAGAGUCCAAGGGAAGUUGUCAUCACAGAGUACUCCUUGUCUGGCUGUAUCAGGGCCUCUUUAGGUGACGGUGAGGUGUGACUAAGUGCCACAAGCCAUCAGUUAUUAAAAACACACCUCUCAUGGGGGUUGGAAAGACAGUGGAAUGAGAUGGACAUCAUUACCCUAAGUACAUGUAUGAAGACAGGAAUGGUGUGAAUAUACUUUGUAUACAACCAAAGAUAUGAAACAUUGUUCUCUAUAUGUGUAAUAUGAAUUGCAAUGCAUUCUGCUGUCAUAUAUAACAAAUCAAAAUAAAAAAAUUAAAAAAAGAAAUACCAAGAGCUCACGGAUUCUUUAGCAAAUUAUGCUGCAUUUCCUUACCUUCAGAUAUUCUUU
This 773-nucleotide long non-coding RNA is filed under the name Ictidomys tridecemlineatus (thirteen-lined ground squirrel). Its description in RNAcentral is "lncRNA (ENSSTOG00000030894.1)". Lineage: Eukaryota; Metazoa; Chordata; Mammalia; Rodentia; Sciuridae. The record is from RNAcentral.